GUGGACUUGUUAGGCCGAAGGGCCUGUUUCCACACUGUAAUCUAAUCUAAUCUAAUCUAAUCUAAUUUAGAAGUCUGGAAAUUGGGCUUUGUGCAAAACAGGUAAAUAAAAUUCUCUAAAUGUGUUUGGUUCUAACUUCUAAUUGGCUUGGAAGAGAAAGUUUUACAAUUACUUAUUAGCUGCUUGUGCUGAAAUUUAAAAAAUUUCAGUUCAUCUUUAAAUUCUUAAGCCUAAAUUAAUUACUGACUCCAUAAUCACCAGAGGUGCCUCCUUCGCCUCACCCAUGCUUCUGACUCUGGACUAUUUUGUACAUUCACUCUUCUUAUUGUUGUCAAAUGAUUUUGGUUGUUUUAGGCCUUUUCUCAUUAACUCGAGUUUUUUGACAAAACCUCUGGCUCCUUUUAAAAAAAAAGUUCCUCUCAUAACCUCAUUUUUCACCCAAGCUUUUGGUCAGCUCUCUCAAUUCUGGCACCAUGCUGCAUAAUUUUGAUAAAUCAACUUUAAAAGGUUUCUGCAUCAGAUAAAUAAGGUUCAGUUCAAUGUUCUGAUGUGAACUGCCAGCAGCUAGGCAUUCAUCUUUCAGCCAAGGUUCAUGAAAUGCUACCACCUUUUCCAUGAACUCAAUCAGAUGCCUUUUGAAAAUUUGUGAAGCUGGUGCUUGCCCAAACUAGUACUUCAUAAUAUUUAAUCCAGCUACUUCAGGAUUUUUUUUUUUGUAUGUUUCUUGUGCUUUCCUGAAUCUAAUCUUUACGAGGAAACAAACCCUUUGCUGCCACUGCUUUGUCUGUCAUUAUGGCUGUAAUAAUGUUAUUCGGUUUUAAUAUUUUUAUUCUUGUUCUAAUAACUCAAGAUUUUUAACUGGAUCUGCUGCUAGAAUAAAACCAAAUUAGCAUUUAUUUGUGGGAUCACCAGAGACCAAUUCAUAAAUGCUCAUCUUCCUGAAAUGAAGCACAUACAGCUUUUUAUUAGUCUUUCUCUGAGCCAUUCGAGAAUAGAACAAAGGUCUCAUUGUCAAAAACAUCGGGAUGGGUAUAUUGAAUAGAAAUGCUUUGGAGGGAUUUAGGUCAGAUUGGAAUGUCUGGUCGGUGUGGACGAGUUGGACUGAAGGCACUCCAUGGCACUUUUUGUUUUGUGAUCUGGAUAGUGAAUAGCACCAGGAUAUUCUACUGUUGAUGAAAUCACUGCUGAACCUGUCAUUACACUAGCAAAUGUCACCAGGAGUAAGAAUUCUGACCUAUUUCUUUUUCUCAAAUCCACUCAUGAUAAUUAUACCAUGAUUGCUGUCCAUGUAGUUGGAAACUGAAAAUGUUAGUAACAUUUCAUUAAUUCAGGUUGGAAAGACAUGAUCUUAAUGUGAUAUAUAGUGCUAAAGGCCCUGCUACUUAAACCAAAAUUAUUUAAUAUUUUUGUCCCUCUUACUCUUGAACUCUUAAAUUUAUACAGGAAUGUCAAGUACCUUAUCUAUGUAGCCAUCUUUAUUCCCUCUCUUCUUUGGUUAGACUGGAGAGAGGCAUCACAACUAAACCUAUGCAUGCCUUCAUCCAGUAUUCACUUUUUAACAAGUGAAUGCUGAGCUGUUUAACCCAUAGUUGUAGAAACACUCUGGAGCACUCCUGCUGCUGUUGCACUGAGACCAACUAACUCCAAAGAGAUUAAGGAUCAAUUCUGGUAAGUUUCAUCCAAGUGGCUUAGAACUACAAUUAGUCAGGUGGAUAUUUAUCCAGCUAUUUUCCGUGUGAAUUAUUAAGUAAAGCUGUAGGACCCCUCUUUGAAUAAUGUGAUGUUACUAUUUUGAAACUGUCAAUAGAAGUUUAAUACUGCCUGUGAAACCUUGACAGGAGACUGGGUUUUUUUGGAUGGUGAAGUUACUUCACACACUCACUGCCAUGGUCUGUCAUUUUUUUAAAAAAAAGAUAUUUUCUCUACCCUAUACUGUCUAGUGAAAGCCCUGAGGUACAAUUCCAUGGAUACUAUAAUGCCCUCUGAACUAUGUCUCCCUUCCCCACAAAAUUCUUAGGAAAUAUUUCAUGAAGAGUAGUAGUUGAAGUUGCAGAGCAUCUUGAUGUAAAUGGGCAUACUGAAAUCAUCGAUGAACAAAGGUUUACAUGGAAUUGACCAUCAAGUUGCGCCUUAGCAGUGAUUUAAAAGAUUGAGACCAAGUUGGAAGAGGCACAGAUUAGUGAGAUUUGUAAAUGCAAGUAUUGGGAUUUAAAAUAAGUACUACUUGACAUUUCAAAAUUCAGACCCCCUUAACCAAGGGAUAUGACCAUCAACUGCAUAGUUCAAAACUAAACCUCUGUUCUGGAUGUUUAAUUUGUCCAUUUUUAUUGUUUUUGUUAACGUUGUAUUAAGUUCUCAUGAUACAUUAACAAGUGGAGCUGAUAGAAAGGACUAAAACACCAAAUCUGUUAACCGCACAAACAACUAAAUUGAUUUUUAAAAACCUUGAGUUGAUUGAGUCUUUUGAAUGUUAGGUACAAACAUGAUUUUAAUGUUUUAUGUGCAUGUGUUCAUCUCUUUGAUGACCCCGGUGAGUUUAGGUAUAUUUACAUUCCCUCCAAUAGCUCAUGCAGUAUCAUGUGUAUGCCAAAUCUCUCUGCAAAUCAUUGCCUUUAUAUCAAUGAAAAAAUGUACCAGCAAUGUGAUAUAAUGCCAUGAGAAUCAGUGUUCUAGAUUCAUAGACCUCAGUUGAACAGCUAAUAAUGCCACAAAGUAGCCUGACCCUUUAAUGGUGAUUUCUCCAAGCAGAAUAGAUCCUCACCUAAGAUCUAUAAAUACUUCUCAGUAAGGUCACGUUACAAUCCUAAAUAGGAGGGCAAAAUUUAAUUUGCAAUUGGCUAGGUACAAGCAACUUAUGUUGAUGAAGUGAGGGUCCCAGGCACUUAGAGAAUAAAGCCACAUAAUUUCAGUUUCAAAUGAGGAAUCAUAAACUACUAUACAAAGUUGGAAUAGUAAUACAGUCUGCAAUGACCAUACAAUUUUUUUCUAAUAUCCCCAGAAUUAAUUUGAGGUAAAUAUGGGUAGCAGGCAUACCAUUGUCGAACAUUCCACAGAACAUCUCAAAUAGCACAUAAGAUCAAGACAGUUACCAUGGAUUUAUAAGAGUUAAAGAGUCAUCCAUUCUCCAAAAACAUCAGAAUUCUGAAGUUUCAAUUUUAAUAAUUGGUAUUGAAACUCUUGAGUCACUCCAUCAUAAAGUGCCUUAAUGACUGCUUACAUUCUGGUAUUUUGCCUCUUCCAGGGUCUAAACUCUCUUGGAUUCUGGGAACUAUACUGCAACUUUUCACAGACUGCAGACAUCAAGCCAGUACUGUCCCUGAAUGUUUGUUUUUUCCCUGAGCUUUAAUUUUGUUCAGUUGCACCAACUGACUUUGAGAACUCUCUUUCUUUCUUGAGUUAAUUGCACAGAAUUAUUCAGUUAUUCUUGGAACUUCUACCUCUGCCUCAACUGCACAAUCCAUAUAGUUCAGUUGCUUUCUCAACAAUCUCAAACAUGGAGACUUUUGUCUCAUGAUGUUGUACUGUGUCCAACUCCAGAAACUUAUAUCCUUUGAACUGUUUUUAGUUACUUGAACAAUUUUGAUCUGUUGAAAGCCUUGUAACAAAUUUCGACCAGCAGGCUUGAAUAUAGUCACCUGGCAAUUGUUGGAACACCUGAUUUCCUGAAUGUUACAAUAUUCAUAAUUGGAAACAAGAACAAGUGGAAUUCAUCACAGACAGCAGAUAACCAUUCGGGAAAGAUCCUCAGUGAUUUCUCCUUUUUUCUCCUGUAGAUGUCGAGGCAGCUUUUAAAGAUGGUUGUGGUUAGCUAAAUCACCAUAGACUAAGUAGUAAAGUUGACAACUUACGUUCUCAGUAUUGCACGUGUUAUUUGAAGUAUUAGUGCAACAUUUCUCAAGUCUGUCCUUUAACUCUACUCAGAUGCUGAGUAUAUGACUCUGUUAAAACAUGCACCCGGAGAUGCAAGAUAGCAUUCUAUGCUUACUCAGCCCAUUUGGUUUGCCUGUACUUUGGGGAUUCGGUUGAUGUCUCACCUGAUAUCACAGCAGAGAUGAGAAAUUCUGGGUUUCAAACUUUUUCUCUUUCAUAAUCCAUUUGAUCACCAUCUUUGAUGUCCUUUCACAAAUCAUAGAAUUAUGCAAUAUAGGCUAUUGAGCCUGUAUCAACUCAAAGGCAAACCAGUUAGUCCAAUGCCACUGCAAACUACUUUUUCAAAUUAAUGUUGAAAUUUCCACCACCAAUUUAGGCAACGCAUUCAGUAAUCAUUUUGCUAUGUCCAGGUUCCCAUUAACUGUCUCCAGUUGACUCCAGUGAAGGCCAUGGACUGUUUACUGUAUUGACCCUUUGUUUUAUUUUUGAUCGUAGGAUGUGGAUGUCUCUGGCUAAACUAGUACUUAUUGACGAUCCGUCAUUGCCAUUGUUCUGGAUUCACGUGUAGUCUAGAAAGGGUAAAGAUGGCAGAUUCCCUUUCUAAAGGCAAUUGGAAGGUUUCAGCAAUACACUGCGGGAUGCUGGAGAGUCAUAGAAACAUUGAUGGAGAAGAAGGGACUCCUGGCAAUGGAAAGAUCUCCAAGUUUUAGUGACAUCACCCUUGAAAUACUGGUCAGAGAGGUGGAAACUGAAGACUGAAUCUCUUCAGAGAACAGCAGAAUGGCUUAGUGCAAAUCGUAGCUUCCAGAAUAUGGUAGCAGAUCCAGCAAGUGUAAUGAGCUCUCUCAGAUGGUCAAGGUUAGUCAAUUCAUCUGCACCUCACAUCUUACGCCUCUUAGAUUGCAGCUAUUCAGUAUGUUAGGUACAUCCUAAUUCCAGUAAUGUAGUCAGAUAAUCUCACCACUCUCUUCCAGGGGAAGGCCACAUGAAAGUAGACACAAGGGACUGCCAGAGGAACAGAAUGCAUCCAUCAUCCUUGAGAAGAUGAUUGUAAGACUAUGGACAUUAGUGCCACCAAGUUAGUACCACCUGAUGCUGCCAAGGUCAUCCAUGGUAGUCAAGAACUGCCUCUGAGGAAGAAGCAACAUUGUUUGAUCCUGCACAUACAGCGUCUAGCUCAGCUAUUGGCACCAUGCGUACCUUGAGGCUAGUAUGGAGUUGAUGUUGGCAUAUGGUCCUUUCAGAGGAUGGCUAAGAAUCAAAAACAUUACGUCUGGAGUUAUAUGUAAGUCAGACCAGUGAUUGCUAAAACUGAGAAGCUUGCUUGGCCAUUUCAAAGGAUAGUCAUCCAUAUUGCUGUGGCUUUGGAGUGACAUGUAGGCAAGAUCAGGAUGUAGCAACUUGGAGAUAGCGAGGACUACUGAUGUUGGAAAGUCAAAGAAUCGAUAAAGAGCAAUAGAAUUAUCAGCCUGAUGCUGUUGGCUGAUCAUAAACUCACAUGAAAUCCAGCAUGGGGUGUUGAGCAAAGCACCCACAUGAACUGAAAUUAUUGAUUGGAGCCUGGUCCAUGAAACUCUAAAUGGGAAAUUGAACAGAACCUGCCUCAGGCACAAACACAAUACAGCAG
Molecule: non-coding RNA, 5497 nt
Organism: Chiloscyllium plagiosum (whitespotted bambooshark)
Lineage: Eukaryota; Metazoa; Chordata; Chondrichthyes; Orectolobiformes; Hemiscylliidae
Source: RefSeq, a predicted model, not a curated record